UACAGAGGUCCCAAGCGUUGUUCGGAUUCAUUGGGCGUAAAGGGUGCGUAGGCGGCGCGGUAAGUCGGGUGUGAAAUCUCCCGGCUCAACCGGGAGGGUGCGCCGAAUACUGAGGGACUUCGAGUGCGGGAGAGGAAAGUGGAAUUCCUGGUGUAGCGGUGAAAUGCGUAGAUAUCAGGAGGAACACCGGUGGUGUAGACGGCUUUCUGGACCGUAACUGACGCUGAGACACGAAAGCGUGGGUAGCAAACAGG
RNAcentral lists this ribosomal RNA (254 nucleotides) under uncultured bacterium. RNAcentral's name for it is "partial 16S ribosomal RNA". It matches the Rfam family "Bacterial small subunit ribosomal RNA", at positions 524 to 776 of the family's 1533-position model. The record is from RNAcentral.